GACGAACGCUGGCGGCGUGCUUAACACAUGCAAGUCGAACGGAAAGGCCCUGCUUUUGUGGGGUGCUCGAGUGGCGAACGGGUGAGUAACACGUGAGUAACCUGCCCUUGACUUUGGGAUAACUUCAGGAAACUGGGGCUAAUACCGGAUAGGAGCUCCUGCUGCAUGGUGGUGGUUGGAAAGUUUCUGCGGUUGGGGAUGGACCCGCGGCUUAUCAGCUUGUUGGUGGGGUAGUGGCUUACCAAGGCUUUGACGGGUGGCCGGCCUGAGAGGGUGACCGGCCACAUUGGGACUGAGAUACGGCCCAGACUCCUACGGGAGGCAGCAGUGGGGAAUAUUGCACAAUGGGCGGAAGCCUGAUGCAGCAACGCCGCGUGCGGGAUGACGGCCUUCGGGUUGUAAACCUCUUUCGCCUGUGACGAAGCGUGAGUGACGGUAAUGGGUAAAGAAGCACCGGCUAACUACGUG
Molecule: ribosomal RNA, 468 nt
Filed under: uncultured bacterium
Lineage: Bacteria
Description: partial 16S ribosomal RNA
Rfam family: Bacterial small subunit ribosomal RNA
Source: RNAcentral